AUAACGCGACCCGAUAUAAUACGAAUUCGGAUAUAACACGGUAAAGCAGUGGUCUUGUGGGGGCGGGGCUGGGCACUCCCGUGGAUCAAAGCAACUUCGAUAUAACGCGGUGUCACCUAUAACACGGUAAGAUUUUUUGGCUCCCAUGGACAGCGUUAUAUUGAGGUAGAGGGGGGUGUAUUUUAAAAUAACAUUUUC
Chelonoidis abingdonii (Abingdon island giant tortoise) is the source of this 198-nucleotide non-coding RNA. Lineage: Eukaryota; Metazoa; Chordata; Testudines; Testudinidae. The record is from RefSeq and is a predicted model, not a curated record.